AACGGCCGCGGUAUCUUGACCGUGUGAAGGUAGCGUAAUCAUUUGUCUUUUAAAUGAAGACCUGUAUGAAUGGCACAACGAGAGCUUAACUGUCUCACUCUCUUAGUCAAUGAAAUUGAUCUCCCCGUGCAGAAGCGAGGAUAAAAACAUAAGACGAAAAGACCCUAUGGAGCUUUAGAAUCUGAAACAGACCAAACAAACUUAAGUUUAACAUUUUGGAGCCUGCUUCUAAUUUCUUCGGUUGGGGCGACCAUGGAGAAAAACUAAACCUCCACGUAAAGAACACUCACAUUUCUUUAAAAUAAGAGCUACAACUCUAAUUUACAGAAGAUCUGUCUACAAAUGAUCCGGCACUAACAGCCGAUCAACGAAACAAGUUACCCUAGGGAUAACAGCGCAAUCCCCUUUUAGAGCCCACAUCGACAAGGGGGUUUACGACCUCGAUGUUGGAUCAGGACAUCCUAAU
This 466-nucleotide ribosomal RNA is filed under the name Atlantirivulus janeiroensis. Its description in RNAcentral is "partial 16S ribosomal RNA". It matches the Rfam family "Bacterial large subunit ribosomal RNA", at positions 1926 to 2551 of the family's 2925-position model. Lineage: Eukaryota; Metazoa; Chordata; Actinopteri; Cyprinodontiformes; Rivulidae. The record is from RNAcentral.